CUGAAACUUUGAGUCCUAAUAAUUAGCUACUCUGCACCCCCUACCCACCACUUCCUUUUCUUCCUCUUUCAUUCAAAGGGAAUCUUAUAUCAAUUCCAGCAUCAUUUUCUUAAGAGUCACAUGAAAUAGACGCCUAAUUAGGCCUUUAAUACUCUACGAUACGAUCAAAAUAUAUGCGAUAAAAGGGAGAAGAAAUCUUGCACUGUUUGGAAGGUUGUCGCCACUAUUAGUCUUGUAAGAUCUGCAACGUCUCAUACUCUUCCUCCGUCCCAUGCUCCUUCCAUCUUCACGGCGCUCCGAUCCUCUGCCGGUGUUUGGAUGUAUAACGCGCUCUUUGUCUUUUCUGUCUCCUCUAGUAAAAGAUUAUGUCUUUCUAAUAUAUGUUUUUAUUUGUAUUUGAGUGAGAAAGCUUCAUUCUUGUAAGAAUGACUUUGAGGCUAUCAUAGCUAAAUAAACAUAAUAACUACUAUAUAUCUUCACAUCCAUUUUUUUUUAUGAUUUUUGAUAAUUUUAGAUGUGUUUAUAAAAUAUUUAGUUUUUUAUUUGUUAUUUUAGAUGUGUUUAUUUAAUUUUA
Non-coding RNA from Arachis ipaensis, 574 nucleotides. NCBI's taxonomy places the organism in Eukaryota, Viridiplantae, Streptophyta, Magnoliopsida, Fabales, Fabaceae. The record is from RefSeq and is a predicted model, not a curated record.